Molecule: long non-coding RNA, 1393 nt
Organism: Beta vulgaris subsp. vulgaris (sugar beet)
Lineage: Eukaryota; Viridiplantae; Streptophyta; Magnoliopsida; Caryophyllales; Amaranthaceae
Exons: 2
Source: RefSeq, a predicted model, not a curated record
UGAAGAGAGAGUUUGGAAUAGAAGAAGAUGUGAGGAAGAGAUGAGAUGUCCUGAGUACUUGUGAUAAGUGGUGGAGAGAUUUCAAGUCAAGAUUGGUGACUAGAUGGAUCACAAAAACGAGGAAGGGGCAUAACAGUGAUACACCACCGUACGUACUCUAUCCUUUCAUCACGCAAGAGAUCUGGGACCAGUUUGUGAAAAAAUGUAGCUCUAAGGAGUUUAAGGCUAAAAGUGAAAAAGAAUGUCUCAGGCUGCUAACAAGCAUCCUCAUUUUUUUAGGUCAAAGUCAUAUGCGGAGAUGAUUCCCGUUUGGAAAUGCAAAGGGUAUAUCCCUUCAUCCUCUACAACAUCAUCUGUUGACUCUACAUCAUCAAUGAUUUCCUCUUUGCCGGAUCGAACAUUGCCACGACUUCUUGCGAGAUCGAAAAAAGAUAAGGAUGAAAUUUUUUUUUCCCUAAUGAAGAAACACAAAAGAUAAAAGAGUCCAUUGUAAGUAUUCUUCAAAUUUUAUAAUAUUUUCUUGUCUAAUUACUCGUAUUCUACUAAUCAUACGAAUUUUUUUAAUUGGACGCAUGAUGAUUGGAAAAGGAAAAAUCGAGAGUUUAUUCCACGUCGGAUGGAUGAUGCUCUAUCAUGUGAUAUGUAGAGGAAAGACAGUCCUAGGCGUGUGUUAACAGCUAGGCAUAGUAUUGGGAUUACAUAUGUUUGGGAGAUUGAUCGGAGCAGUACUGCUCGCAAGGGUAGGGGAAUGGAUGAUGAGGAGAUGCAUGCGUUAGAGGCUAGAGUGAGCAAAAGACUUAAAGAACAGACGAUGGAAGAGAUGAACUCGAAGAUAGAUGCAUUAGUUCAAGAAAGGUUCAUGGCUUUUGCGGCGCAAUUAGGUAUUCAAGUACCAAAUCAAACAAGGGAAGAUCCUCACACUCCAACCGCUCCUAGUAGCUGUCAUUCGAAGGGCGAUGAUCCAUUUAUGAACUUGUACGGAUAUAUUUAUUUUAUAUAUCUUCUAAUAUUAUGAUGUUAUGCUUAUAAAAAACUUAAUUAAUGACAUUGUACUCCCAUUGAAUGCUAACAGUCAAGUUCCAUGUCGUUUGGCAUUAACGGAUAUCUCAGGACCGAUCAUUGUAGCUGAAGGUACCGUUCAUCCAUGAAAGGAGUCAUCAUCACAUCCUACCGCCGUGAAAGUGAGUGUUGAUGAUUUUUUUGCGGAGUAUGCAGACGUUCCAGUUCCACUACCUACUCCAUUCAUCAUGAAACUCAGUCAAGCUGAGGGUUCAUGCAUAGAAUGGCCGAAAGAGUUGAUAUUUUUAGUAUCAGAUAAUCUGGUAAGUUAUGUUUAGUAUUUUGAUUUAUAUAAUAAGAAUUCUAAAUUUAUAUACUAAGAAAUCUUCAUUUA